Molecule: ribosomal RNA, 484 nt
Filed under: uncultured bacterium
Lineage: Bacteria
Description: partial 16S ribosomal RNA
Rfam family: Bacterial small subunit ribosomal RNA
Source: RNAcentral
AUUGAACGCUGGCGGCAUGCUUUACACAUGCAAGUCGAACGGCAGCGCGGGCUUCGGCCUGGCGGCGAGUGGCGAACGGGUGAGUAAUGCAUCGGAACGUGCCCAGUAGUGGGGGAUAGCCCGGCGAAAGCCGGAUUAAUACCGCAUACGACCUGAGGGUGAAAGCGGGGGACCGAAAGGCCUCGCGCUAUUGGAGCGGCCGAUGUCGGAUUAGCUAGUUGGUGGGGUAAAGGCUUACCAAGGCGACGAUCCGUAGCUGGUCUGAGAGGACGACCAGCCACACUGGGACUGAGACACGGCCCAGACUCCUACGGGAGGCAGCAGUGGGGAAUUUUGGACAAUGGGGGCAACCCUGAUCCAGCCAUGCCGCGUGCGGGAAGAAGGCCUUCGGGUUGGAAACCGCUUUUGUUCGGGAAGAAAUCCUCUGGGCUAAUACCCCGGGGGGAUGACGGUACCGGAAGAAUAAGCACCGGCUAACUACGUG